AGAGUUUGAUCAUGGCUCAGAACGAACGUUAGCGGCGCGCCUAAUACAUGCAAGUCGUGCGAGAAAGGGCUUCGGCCCCGGUAAAGCGGCGCACGGGUGAGUAACACGUAGGUGAUCUCCCCUCGAGUGGUGGAUAACCCUCCGAAAGGAGGACUAAUACAGCAUAAGACCACGGCUCUUCGGAGCUGCGGCCAAAGCCGGCCACUGUAUACAAGCUUGUGCUCGAGGAUGAGCCUGCGGCCCAUCAGGUAGUUGGUAGGGUAACGGCCUACCAAGCCUAAGACGGGUAGCUGGUCUGAGAGGAUGAACAGCCACACUGGAACUGAGACACGGUCCAGACUCCUACGGGAGGCAGCAGUAGGGAAUCUUGCCCAAUGGGCGAAAGCCUGAGGCAGCGACGCCGCGUGAGCGAUGAAGGCCUUCGGGUUGUAAAGCUCUGUGGGGAGGGACGAAUAAGGCUUGGCUAAUAUCCAAGUCGAUGACGGUACCUCCUUAGCAAGCACCGGCUAACUCUGUGCCAGCAGCCGCGGUA
RNAcentral lists this ribosomal RNA (532 nucleotides) under uncultured Pseudomonadota bacterium. Its description in RNAcentral is "bacterial SSU rRNA". It matches the Rfam family "Bacterial small subunit ribosomal RNA", at positions 8 to 522 of the family's 1533-position model. The record is from RNAcentral. Lineage: Bacteria; Pseudomonadati; Pseudomonadota.